RNAcentral lists this long non-coding RNA (321 nucleotides) under Manihot esculenta (cassava). RNAcentral's name for it is "long non-coding RNA (MESC_LNC002535)". The record is from RNAcentral. Lineage: Eukaryota; Viridiplantae; Streptophyta; Magnoliopsida; Malpighiales; Euphorbiaceae.
GCAUGAUGAAUUUAGAAUAUGCUCAAAAGUGAUCAGAAAGUUGCCAAAAAAAAAAAGGAUAAAAAUGCCAGUCCAACAAAGGCUACAAUACAACUCCAAAAUAUCAGAAACAAAAGCUUCCACAGAAAAUAAAGUGCAGACAUGUCUAAUUGAUACCCAGCUGGAUGAUAGAAAGCUCAGAAAGUGAAAAAAUAGGUAAUCAGUAACCUGCUGGAAAAAUCAGCAACAGUUCCAUUCCAGCAUAGCAAAGUAUAGGAAGUCGAUAGAUUGAAAGGAAGAUGAAAUGCAUCAAACAUACACAAUAUAAGACAUAAGUGUAAU